Molecule: non-coding RNA, 95 nt
Submitted as: unclassified sequences
Source: Rfam
AAUACUUGAAUGCCGAGGAAAUUAUGGGGAUGCUGAUUAAUUCAGCUCCAGCAUGCUGAGACAUGUGGGAUCGCAUAACGGAGAGGUAUUCUUUU